AAUCAACGCUGGCGGCGCGCCUUAACACAUGCAAGUCGAGCGAGAAAGGGGAGCAAUCCCUGAGUACAGCGGCGUACGGGUGAGUAACACGUGGGUGAUCUACCUUCUAGUGGGGGAUCACCCUGGGAAACCGGGGCUAAUACCGCAUAAGCCUGUGAAGGGAAAGCAGCAAUGCGCUGGAAGAGGAGCCCGCGGCCGAUUAGCUAGUUGGUGAGGUAACGGCCCACCAAGGCGAUGAUCGGUAGCCGGCCUGAGAGGGCACACGGCCACACUGGCACUGAAACACGGGCCAGACUCCUACGGGAGGCAGCAGUGGGGAAUCUUGCACAAUAGAGGCAACUCUGAUGCAGCGACGCCGCGUGAGCGAUGAAGCCCUUCGGGGUGUAAAGCUCUUUCGGC
This 399-nucleotide ribosomal RNA is filed under the name uncultured soil bacterium. Its description in RNAcentral is "bacterial SSU rRNA". It matches the Rfam family "Bacterial small subunit ribosomal RNA", at positions 29 to 440 of the family's 1533-position model. The record is from RNAcentral.